CAUGUACGGAACUCCCCAGAGAUGGCUUAGUGCGGAAAAGAGCACCGUAACACAGGAGCCCCGUGGCUGUUGUCAGCUCGUGUCGUGAGAUGGAGGGUUAAGUCCCGCAACGAGCGCAACCCUUGUCAUUAGUUGCUACAUUUAGUGGGGCACUCUAAUGAGACUGCCGGUGACAAACCGGAGGAAGGUGGGGAUGACGUCAAGUCCUCAUGGCCCUUAUAGGUAGGGCUACACACGUCAUACAAUGGCUGGUACAAAGGGUUGCCAACCCGCGAGGGGGAGCUAAUCCCAUAAAACCAGUCGUAGUCCGGAUCGCAGUCUGCAACUCGACUGCGUGAAGUCGGAAUCGCUAGUAAUCGUGGAUCAGAAUGUCACGGUGAAUA
This 383-nucleotide ribosomal RNA is filed under the name uncultured bacterium. RNAcentral's name for it is "bacterial SSU rRNA". It matches the Rfam family "Bacterial small subunit ribosomal RNA", at positions 985 to 1368 of the family's 1533-position model. The record is from RNAcentral.